This 244-nucleotide ribosomal RNA is filed under the name uncultured bacterium. RNAcentral describes it as "partial small subunit ribosomal RNA". It matches the Rfam family "Bacterial small subunit ribosomal RNA", at positions 26 to 285 of the family's 1533-position model. The record is from RNAcentral.
AGAAUCAACGCUGGCGGCGUGCCUAACACAUGCAAGUCGAACGAGAAAGGGUAGCAAUACCUGAGUAAAGUGGCGCACGGGUGAGUAACACGUGACUAACCUACCUUUUAGUGGGGGAUAACCUAGGGAAACCUGGGCUAAUACCGCAUAAUACCUACGGGUCAAAGCAGCAAUGCGCUGAUAGAGGGGUCGCGGCCGAUUAGCUAGUUGGCGGGGUAAUGGCCCACCAAGGCAGUGAUCGGUA